AACGCACCUUGCGCUCCUUGGUAUUCCGAGGAGCAUGCCUGUUUGAGUGUCUUGAAGUCAUCAACCCCCUCCGUUUCGUGCGGUUCGGGUUGGAGCUGGGGGCUCUGCCGCCGUCGAGGCGGCUCCCCUCAAAUGCAUCGGUUGGGCCUGUGGGUCGAACUCGACUGGGCGUUGUACCAUCCUCGCUCGACAGAGACGUUCCCCUCUGGCGCCCUUCCCCGACCUGCCUUUCAGAGCGGCGGUCAAGCUUUUUGAAAUCUGACCUCAAAUCAGGUAGGACUACCCGCUGAACUUAA
Molecule: unclassified non-coding RNA, 296 nt
Filed under: uncultured fungus
Lineage: Eukaryota; Fungi
Description: partial contains 5.8S ribosomal RNA, internal transcribed spacer 2, and large subunit ribosomal RNA
Rfam family: 5.8S ribosomal RNA (bases 1-52)
Source: RNAcentral